Melitaea cinxia (Glanville fritillary) is the source of this 230-nucleotide long non-coding RNA. RefSeq lists it as uncharacterized. The record is from RefSeq and is a predicted model, not a curated record. NCBI's taxonomy places the organism in Eukaryota, Metazoa, Arthropoda, Insecta, Lepidoptera, Nymphalidae. The transcript is spliced from 2 exons.
UGUGUUUUUAUGCGCUAAACAUAAUGUCAUACGACACACAAAGCCAAAAAAUAUUAAAAACUAGACGCCAUCUUGACAUUCCGGCUACCAGCCUCAAGUGAACGAGACGUCUGCUUUGAAAACUUUUUCGAACUAGCAAUAUAGGUCGUAAGCCAGCAAAAUCGGCAAUAAUCUCCAAGUUUUUUUUUUUUAUAAGGAAAACGCAUGCACAACGAAAAAAGUCAGAUAAA